GACGAACGCUGGCGGCGUGCUUAACACAUGCAAGUCGAGCGGUAAGGCCCUUUCGGGGUACGACGAGCGGCGAACGGGUGAGUAACACGUGGGUGACCUGCCCUCAGUUCUGGGAUAAGCCUGGGAAACCGGGUCUAAUACUGGAUAUGACCUCAUGACGCAUGUUGUGGGGUGGAAAGCCUUGUGCGACUGAGGAUGGGCCCGCGGCCUAUCAGCUUGUUGGUGGGGUGAUGGCCUACCAAGGCGACGACGGGUAGCCGGCCUGAGAGGGCGACCGGCCACACUGGGACUGAGACACGGCCCAGACUCCUACGGGAGGCAGCAGUGGGGAAUCUUGCGCAAUGGGCGAAAGCCUGACGCAGCGACGCCGCGUGAGGGAUGACGGCCUGGUGUAAC
Molecule: ribosomal RNA, 396 nt
Filed under: uncultured bacterium
Lineage: Bacteria
Description: bacterial SSU rRNA
Rfam family: Bacterial small subunit ribosomal RNA
Source: RNAcentral